RNAcentral lists this ribosomal RNA (279 nucleotides) under Euryopis spinifera. RNAcentral's name for it is "partial 12S ribosomal RNA". Lineage: Eukaryota; Metazoa; Arthropoda; Arachnida; Araneae; Theridiidae. The record is from RNAcentral.
CAGCAAUUAUAAUUCUAGAGGAACUUGUUUUUUAAUCGAUAACCCUCGAUAAUUUUCACUUUAAUUAAAAAUUUAUAUACCUCCAUCAUAAGAAUUAAUUUUAAAAUAAUAUUCUAAAUAAUCAUAUAAUAUGUUAGGUAAAGGUGUAAUCUAUAUUUUAGAUAAAAUAAGUUAUUUAUAAAAAAAAUUUAAGAAUAUUAUACAAAAACAUUUUUUGAAAAAAGAUUUAGAAGUAAUUUUAAAACAAUAAUUUUUAUUGAAAAACAUUUAUAAUUGUGU